RNAcentral lists this ribosomal RNA (2903 nucleotides) under Escherichia coli. Its description in RNAcentral is "bacterial LSU rRNA". It matches the Rfam family "Bacterial large subunit ribosomal RNA". Lineage: Bacteria; Pseudomonadati; Pseudomonadota; Gammaproteobacteria; Enterobacterales; Enterobacteriaceae. The record is from RNAcentral.
UUAAGCGACUAAGCGUACACGGUGGAUGCCCUGGCAGUCAGAGGCGAUGAAGGACGUGCUAAUCUGCGAUAAGCGUCGGUAAGGUGAUAUGAACCGUUAUAACCGGCGAUUUCCGAAUGGGGAAACCCAGUGUGAUUCGUCACACUAUCAUUAACUGAAUCCAUAGGUUAAUGAGGCGAACCGGGGGAACUGAAACAUCUAAGUACCCCGAGGAAAAGAAAUCAACCGAGAUUCCCCCAGUAGCGGCGAGCGAACGGGGAGCAGCCCAGAGCCUGAAUCAGUGUGUGUGUUAGUGGAAGCGUCUGGAAAGGCGCGCGAUACAGGGUGACAGCCCCGUACACAAAAAUGCACAUACUGUGAGCUCGAUGAGUAGGGCGGGACACGUGGUAUCCUGUCUGAAUAUGGGGGGACCAUCCUCCAAGGCUAAAUACUCCUGACUGACCGAUAGUGAACCAGUACCGUGAGGGAAAGGCGAAAAGAACCCCGGCGAGGGGAGUGAAAAAGAACCUGAAACCGUGUACGUACAAGCAGUGGGAGCCUCUUAAUGGGGUGACUGCGUACCUUUUGUAUAAUGGGUCAGCGACUUAUAUUCUGUAGCAAGGUUAACCGAAUAGGGGAGCCGAAGGGAAACCGAGUCUUAACUGGGCGUUAAGUUGCAGGGUAUAGACCCGAAACCCGGUGAUCUAGCCAUGGGCAGGUUGAAGGUUGGGUAACACUAACUGGAGGACCGAACCGACUAAUGUUGAAAAAUUAGCGGAUGACUUGUGGCUGGGGGUGAAAGGCCAAUCAAACCGGGAGAUAGCUGGUUCUCCCCGAAAGCUAUUUAGGUAGCGCCUCGUGAAUUCAUCUCCGGGGGUAGAGCACUGUUUCGGCAAGGGGGUCAUCCCGACUUACCAACCCGAUGCAAACUGCGAAUACCGGAGAAUGUUAUCACGGGAGACACACGGCGGGUGCUAACGUCCGUCGUGAAGAGGGAAACAACCCAGACCGCCAGCUAAGGUCCCAAAGUCAUGGUUAAGUGGGAAACGAUGUGGGAAGGCCCAGACAGCCAGGAUGUUGGCUUAGAAGCAGCCAUCAUUUAAAGAAAGCGUAAUAGCUCACUGGUCGAGUCGGCCUGCGCGGAAGAUGUAACGGGGCUAAACCAUGCACCGAAGCUGCGGCAGCGACGCUUAUGCGUUGUUGGGUAGGGGAGCGUUCUGUAAGCCUGCGAAGGUGUACUGUGAGGUAUGCUGGAGGUAUCAGAAGUGCGAAUGCUGACAUAAGUAACGAUAAAGCGGGUGAAAAGCCCGCUCGCCGGAAGACCAAGGGUUCCUGUCCAACGUUAAUCGGGGCAGGGUGAGUCGACCCCUAAGGCGAGGCCGAAAGGCGUAGUCGAUGGGAAACAGGUUAAUAUUCCUGUACUUGGUGUUACUGCGAAGGGGGGACGGAGAAGGCUAUGUUGGCCGGGCGACGGUUGUCCCGGUUUAAGCGUGUAGGCUGGUUUUCCAGGCAAAUCCGGAAAAUCAAGGCUGAGGCGUGAUGACGAGGCACUACGGUGCUGAAGCAACAAAUGCCCUGCUUCCAGGAAAAGCCUCUAAGCAUCAGGUAACAUCAAAUCGUACCCCAAACCGACACAGGUGGUCAGGUAGAGAAUACCAAGGCGCUUGAGAGAACUCGGGUGAAGGAACUAGGCAAAAUGGUGCCGUAACUUCGGGAGAAGGCACGCUGAUACGUAGGUGAAGCGACUUGCUCGUGGAGCUGAAAUCAGUCGAAGAUACCAGCUGGCUGCAACUGUUUAUUAAAAACACAGCACUGUGCAAACACGAAAGUGGACGUAUACGGUGUGACGCCUGCCCGGUGCCGGAAGGUUAAUUGAUGGGGUUAGCGGUAACGCGAAGCUCUUGAUCGAAGCCCCGGUAAACGGCGGCCGUAACUAUAACGGUCCUAAGGUAGCGAAAUUCCUUGUCGGGUAAGUUCCGACCUGCACGAAUGGCGUAAUGAUGGCCAGGCUGUCUCCACCCGAGACUCAGUGAAAUUGAACUCGCUGUGAAGAUGCAGUGUACCCGCGGCAAGACGGAAAGACCCCGUGAACCUUUACUAUAGCUUGACACUGAACAUUGAGCCUUGAUGUGUAGGAUAGGUGGGAGGCUUUGAAGUGUGGACGCCAGUCUGCAUGGAGCCGACCUUGAAAUACCACCCUUUAAUGUUUGAUGUUCUAACGUUGGCCCCUAAUCGGGGUUGCGGACAGUGUCUGGUGGGUAGUUUGACUGGGGCGGUCUCCUCCUAAAGAGUAACGGAGGAGCACGAAGGUUGGCUAAUCCUGGUCGGACAUCAGGAGGUUAGUGCAAUGGCAUAAGCCAGCUUGACUGCGAGCGUGACGGCGCGAGCAGGUGCGAAAGCAGGUCAUAGUGAUCCGGUGGUUCUGAAUGGAAGGGCCAUCGCUCAACGGAUAAAAGGUACUCCGGGGAUAACAGGCUGAUACCGCCCAAGAGUUCAUAUCGACGGCGGUGUUUGGCACCUCGAUGUCGGCUCAUCACAUCCUGGGGCUGAAGUAGGUCCCAAGGGUAUGGCUGUUCGCCAUUUAAAGUGGUACGCGAGCUGGGUUUAGAACGUCGUGAGACAGUUCGGUCCCUAUCUGCCGUGGGCGCUGGAGAACUGAGGGGGGCUGCUCCUAGUACGAGAGGACCGGAGUGGACGCAUCACUGGUGUUCGGGUUGUCAUGCCAAUGGCACUGCCCGGUAGCUAAAUGCGGAAGAGAUAAGUGCUGAAAGCAUCUAAGCACGAAACUUGCCCCGAGAUGAGUUCUCCCUGACUCCCUGAGAGUCCUGAAGGAACGUUGAAGACGACGACGUUGAUAGGCCGGGUGUGUAAGCGCAGCGAUGCGUUGAGCUAACCGGUACUAAUGAACCGUGAGGCUUAACCUU